ACUUAAAAACUAGCUGAACAAUAUACUUAAUAUAAAUAUACAUAAAUGUAUAAAUAAACUAACGAAAAUAAUUAAACCAUUCUCUUUUCUCUAGUAUAGGUGAUAGAAAUAGAAAUACAAGCUAUAGAUAAAGUACCGCAAGGGAACGUUGAAAGAGAAAUGAUACAAAUCAGUAAAGUAUAAAAAAGCAGAGAUAAAAACUCGUACCUUUUGCAUCAUGCUUUAGCAAGAACCUACNAAGCAAGACGUUUUCUAGUUUAAAAUCCCGAAACUAAGUGAGCUACUCCAGGACAGCCUAAUAGAGGGCAAACACAUCUCUGUGGCAAAAGAGUGUGAAGAUCUUUGAGUAGAGGUGAUAAGCCUACCGAACUUAGUUAUAGCUGGUUGUCUGAGAAUUAGAUUGAAGUUUAGCCUUUAAUUUUUUACAUUUAAACCUUAUAUAUAUCAUAUUAAUACAAGAAAAUUAAAGAGUUACUCACAAGAGGUUCAGCUCUUGUGAGAAAGGAUACAACCUUAUCAGGUGUUUAAUGAACAUAUAGAAUAAAGUUAAUGUUUUAGUGGGCUUAAAAGCAGCCAUCCAAGAAAAAAGCGUUAAAGCUUAAACAAGAAGAACACUUUCAAUAAAGAUAUCUAAAUCCUAUCCCCUGUAUAUAUCAGACCUCCCCAUCUUUAGAUGGAAGAGAUUAUGCUAAUAUGAGUAAUAUGAAAAAUUUCUCCUGGCAUCUGUGUAGCUAAGAACGGAAAAACCACUUAAACUUAACGGUCCCAAAUAAGAGGGUAAUUAAAAACAAAGAGAAUACUAGAAAGACCUUUACAUCAAACCGUUAACCCCACACUGGCAUGCUAUUAAAGGAAAGAUAUAAAGAAUAAGAAGGAACUCGGCAAAUAUUAACUCAUAAGCCUCGCCUGUUUACCAAAAACAUCGCUUCUUGUUUCUCAAAAAUAAGAAGUCCCNCCUGCCCUGUGAUAAAUUUAACGGCCGCGGUAUUUUGACCGUGCAAAGGUAGCGCAAUCACUUGUCUUUUAAAUGAAGACCCGUAUGAAUGGCAUAACGAGGGCUUAACUGUCUCCUUUUUCCUAUCAAUGAAAUUGAUCUCCUCGUGCAGAAGCGAGGAUAUAACCAUAAGACGAGAAGACCCUGUGGAUCUUUAGUCCUAAGAACAGAACAUAGUUAAAUUACUUGAUUAUAAGUCAAGACUUAUUGAAGCCUGCUCUAGCGACUUUGGUUGGGGCGACCGCGGAGUAACAUAAAACCUCCAUGAUGAAAGAAGAUAAUUCUUCUAAUCCCAGAGCGACAGUUCUAAGAAGUAGAAUCUCUAACCUUCUGAUCCGGUAAUACCGAUCUACGAAAUGAGUUACCCCAGGGNAUAACAGCGCAAUCCUCUUUUAGAGCCCAUAUCGACAAGAGGGUUUACGACCUCGAUGUUGGAUCAAGGUAUCCUAAUGGUGCAACAACUAUUAAGGGUUCGUUUGUUCAACGAUUAAAACCUUACGUGAUCUGAGUUCAGACCGGAGUAAUCCAGGUCAGUUUCUAUCUAUGAAAUAUUUUACCCUAGUACGAAAGGACCGGGUAAAAAAGGCCAAUGAUAUAAUCAAGCCUUCUUCUUAACUGAUGAAAACAUAUAAAGCAGAUAAAAGAACAUGUUUUGAGGGAGAAGAUAAUUCCAU
This 1668-nucleotide ribosomal RNA is filed under the name Nothobranchius thierryi (Togo killifish). RNAcentral's name for it is "16S ribosomal RNA". It matches the Rfam family "Bacterial large subunit ribosomal RNA". Lineage: Eukaryota; Metazoa; Chordata; Actinopteri; Cyprinodontiformes; Nothobranchiidae. The record is from RNAcentral.